RNAcentral lists this ribosomal RNA (301 nucleotides) under uncultured bacterium. RNAcentral's name for it is "partial 16S ribosomal RNA". It matches the Rfam family "Bacterial small subunit ribosomal RNA", at positions 509 to 809 of the family's 1533-position model. The record is from RNAcentral.
CAGUCGCCGCGGGAAUACGAAGGGUGCAAGCGUUACUCGGAAUUACUGGGCGUAAAGCGUGCGUAGGUGGUGGUUUAAGUCCGUUGUGAAAGCCCUGGGCUCAACCUGGGAAUUGCAGUGGAUACUGGGUCACUAGAGUGUGGUAGAGGAUAGUGGAAUUUCCGGUGUAGCAGUGAAAUGCGUAGAGAUCGGAAGGAACAUCUGUGGCGAAGGCGACUAUCUGGGCCAAUACUGACACUGAGGCACGAAAGCGUGGGGAGCAAACAGGAUUAGAUACCCCGGUAGUCCCUGUCUCUUAUAU